GGUGCAAACACACAGGACUCAACCCAGCUGCCUUAAAACAAGUCACAGAACCAUGGAAUUAUGGAAUGUCCCGCAGUGGAAGGGGCCCACAAGCUCCUGGCCCUGCACAGAACAUCCCCAUGAAUCACACCAUGAAAUCCAGCCAUGUCUCAGGGGACCCUGGCAUCUCAGCUCCUGCCCCAGAAGGAUCCUGUCCCCUCACAGUCCUCUGGACUUCCCAGACACCCCAGGACAGGAGAAGCAUCCCUGUGGGAUCAACAAUCUGGCAUGGGUCAACAAGACAAUCCGAUUUUGCAAGCCUGGAGCCAAAUGAAAAUCAGGACUAUGGCAGAGAGGGCCCGCGAUGUGAAAAAGGAAAAACUGCUUUAAAGAGAUAACUGCUCCCAAUCUACUCCCCAAAGGAGACGACUCUUAUUAAGGGUUUCUUCUUGAGAUGUCUGCCUAAAGGCUUCUUCAGAAGGGAUUUAGUCGUUUACAACUCAGAUCUGGAGUUUGAAGCCCCCCUUUUACAGCUUGGCAGCUCCGAGGUCCUGAACCUGCUUCCUUCUGCUGGGCUGGGGCUGAGCUUGGGCAGGGGGGACAGCAGAGGUGACAAGUGCCCGUGCGAGGCUGGGGACACUGCAAGGAGCCAAGGAGAGAGGCAAGAAAAAAAUAAAGACUUCCGAAUCUGUCUGGGAUCCGAUAAAUAUCUGUGGUCAAGCAAACAAAUAAGGAAAUGAAUCCCCAAACAAUAAACAACCCACCCAAACUUACUUCUGAAAGAUUUUUUUGUAGUCUUGUGUUUCCCUGAAGUACCUGGCAGUAUGAAGGGGGAUGAAACCAAACCUCCUCCUGUCUGCUAAAUACUUUUGCAUAUUCAGAUUUCAAAUGCCAAAGAUAGCUAAAAAUAAAGGAAGAAUGAAAAAUAAACUUUCAGCAGAUCUAGAAAAAAAUAACUGCAACCUCCAGCCGGUUGGAGCUGUGCUAAAAUGGUAACUAUGCUCGUCAUGCAAACACUUCAAGAGCAGCGAUUCUAGCGGGAUGGAAUUUGGGGAAGG
Molecule: long non-coding RNA, 1037 nt
Organism: Passer domesticus (house sparrow)
Lineage: Eukaryota; Metazoa; Chordata; Aves; Passeriformes; Passeridae
Exons: 3
Source: RefSeq, a predicted model, not a curated record